UUGCGCGUGAAUUUGAAGGCU
Molecule: microRNA, 21 nt
Filed under: Physcomitrium patens
Lineage: Eukaryota; Viridiplantae; Streptophyta; Bryopsida; Funariales; Funariaceae
Description: ppt-miR1043-3p
Source: miRBase by way of RNAcentral